CUAGCUGCUGCAACUCAGUUACUUACUCCAAGGAAAGACCUUUUUUUCUUCAUUCUGAGCAUCAAAAACACAGUGUAUUCUGGGAUGUGGUACAUGCAAGAACGUAUGGUACCUUCAGAGAAGCAAUGUAGUGUUGCCAAUGGGAUUUUGGCCAAGGCUGGAGUCAGUCUAGAGGAUGCAAAGAAGCCCAGCCCUCCCUUGUACUUCAGUGAUGCCUUGGGAAGACCCCCCUUUGAUUAGCUACUUCUCUUACCUGCCUCCUAGGGUAGAGCAACCCUUCAAGGCUACUGUAUGGAGGAAGACCUAGUUCUUCUCCCUCCACUCAGCAGCUCGGCAACAUCCGCACUCGAGGAGGGACCUGAGGGAGCUCAGGGAAGCCAUGUUCUUCCUCCCCUUUGAGCAAUGAAAACGGCUUCUCCUUCCCCUUCAGCACCUGCCUUCGGAGGGCAGAAAACGUUAAGCCGCCUGGGACAACCUGGAAGGAGAAGGGCACCCCUCCUCAUCUCCCCCCAAGCCUGCCAAAGCAGCAUGAAGAGCCUCAGGAACAGCAGAGUUUGCCACAAGGCCUCAGGAGAACUAACGGAAUGACACUACGGGCGGUUAUGAAGCUGGUGUGCAAUGAGCGGCUUGGAAGGGAUGUACGUGACUUGCUCAUCUCGCUAAACUCGGCCUCUUGCUAGUGAUUUCAGCAGGAGCAGAAGCAGAUCCUGAGAGGAAGGAAGUUGUGCAGAUGAGUAAGGGGAAAGAAGAGAGCAACAAGGAGAAGGAGGAGCAUGCAGGAACUGCCAUCUUGGAUCAGAUCUGUGAUCCAUCUAAUCUACUGUCUUGCUGCUGCUCCAAGAGAGUUUCUUCCCAGCAGUGAGGGGUUUUUGCCCCGAGGCAUGAGUGUUUACAGUCUUUCCAUCCAGAUGAGCCAAUUGCCUAACACUUCAAAAUACUGACAUGAGUAGGAGUUGAUGGAGUUUGGCUUAGGAUCAAAGAAGUGGAAACAGAGGAUGAGAUCAAGACGUGGAAGGAAAAUUGGAGGGUUUGCCCUAGGAGUGAAAGGAAGUCAAGCUGUCUGGCCCUAAGAAUGGGCACUCGACAGAUGGGAGUGCCUGGUCCCAGUGACAAAACCAAGUUGAGCACUGCCAUCCACAGUGCUAUGUGAUAUGCAAGCUCCCCCAAACGGGGACAUGAAGACCAUAACCUCAACUGGUCUCCACCCACAUAGCUACAGGAACAAGCCAGCCACAGUGAGGCAAGCAACCUUUGUGAGAGAGCACAGUAGAUGUCUUCCCAUGGCAUCCUCAGGAGCACCAGCAGGCAUUGGAGAACUAAGCAGCACACUUGGGCAUUGCAGUUCUGCCCAGGGAUGCAGAAAGCACCGGAGGCUUUUUUUUGUUCAAAUGCAGGCAGCAUUCCUCUGCCUGACUCGCAGGUUCUACUUCACUGCUGGCAUCCUGGUAUAACUGCUUCUGAGACAAACGCAUCUACCCUUCCGGACAGACUAUUUCCCUGUUCUGGGAGUUGGGCUGUCGAUAUGUCAAACCAAAGACACUGCAUCUUUGAAGAAACUGAUUGUCAGCUUGCCUGAUGAAAAAUGACAGAACUGUCAUCACUAGUUAGGUGGUCAUGUUGGGUCAUCUUAGACCCAGGAGGUGCCUUUGCUCCAGACCUUUAUAGUUCCUUGUGUUCCAUUAUGGCCUUAGAAAUGUUUAGCGCACACAGCCUCAGUGGUUGUAUAGGUGGUGUCUCUGCAGACAGACAAAUAUACUUUCAGAGACCUGUGGGUUUUUUUUCUGUCAUUAGCUGGAUUUAGAGACAAAUUGCAAAUGUGAAAUCUUUUGCUUUCAUGUACUCUGUGGAAAGAACAAAGAUUGAACGAGAUAGGCAGGAAACUCAGAGGGGUGCUGAGCUGGUUGACAGGACAGGAUGAUUAGAAGUCUGGUGCACAGUAGAGAUAAAUCACUUCAAGUAAUAAACAAACAAGGAUUAGAAAAGCCUUCAUCAGUAAAAACUGAGCUGGUUUCUGAAUAGUUUUGCUCAGAUUAGUGACAUGAGAUUCUAUCAAUCAGAAUACAAAGAGAGGGUGAAGAUAGCACAUAGCACUACAUGAAGAAUAAAGACACACAGGUAAUUAGCCAGCAUACAGUAUUUUGUGGAUUAGUAAUGUGUUAGGACACCAGAGUUCCUACUGGGACUCUUUUUGGGGAGUAAAGCACUGGAUUGGUUUUAGGUUUAGUUUUCUCAUUUUCACCUUUGAUCUCUGUAUGACUGAAUUUAUUGAGGACAUUCAGGAUCCACUGCUUUGAAAAACAGUUUUGCUCAUGUUUUGUGCCUUGGUCUAGUUUCCUAGGGCCAGGGGAACCUACAAGGGGGGAAAAAAAAGCUGUCUCUGUCCCCUCUUCCUUCCCAAGAAUUUCUCCCAACUUUUGUGGAGAUUUGUUCCCAGAUUGCAUUUGAUUUUUUUUUUUUUUCUUCAAUCCUCGGGUUUUGUGUUAACCCAAUGUGUUUUGUCAAUGUGUUUUGUGUUUUCAAUGUGAAAAACACAUUGUGUUAGGCCUGCUGUGGACUUAUGCGUUCUAGUAGUAAAAUG
Alligator sinensis (Chinese alligator) is the source of this 2578-nucleotide long non-coding RNA. RefSeq lists it as uncharacterized. Lineage: Eukaryota; Metazoa; Chordata; Crocodylia; Alligatoridae. The transcript is spliced from 4 exons. The record is from RefSeq and is a predicted model, not a curated record.